UACGGAGGGGACUAGCGUUGUUCGGAAUUACUGGGCGUAAAGCGCACGUAGGCGGAUUUGUAAGUCAGGGGUGAAAUCCCGGGGCUCAACCUCGGAACUGCCUUUGAUACUGCAAAUCUCGAGUCCGGAAGAGGUGAGUGGAAUUCCUAGUGUAGAGGUGGAAUGCGUAGAGAUCCGGAAGAACACCGGUGGCGAAGGCGGCCUGCUGGGCAGUACUGACACUCAAGUGCGAAAGCGUGGGGAGCAAACAGG
This 252-nucleotide ribosomal RNA is filed under the name uncultured bacterium. RNAcentral describes it as "partial 16S ribosomal RNA". It matches the Rfam family "Bacterial small subunit ribosomal RNA", at positions 524 to 776 of the family's 1533-position model. The record is from RNAcentral.